UAGCUGUGGAGGGAGAUGGGCCUGGCUGCCGGGGAGCAUACUAGGAUAUCUGAGCAAACGUUCUGAAGGGCAGUGAUGCUGACAAAUCCUUACAGGCCAGAGAAGGGAAUAAAGCAAGGAGAAAACUGGAUGAAAAAAGCAGAUAAAGAGCCUAAGAAUUCCUGAGUCCAAUGCAUUGGAGGCAAACAGUGCUACAGGUUCAAAAUGUGGUUAGUGUGUGUGAAAGGCGACAAGCGGACACCCCUGGAGAAAGACACAGAACACAAAUCAUAGGCAGUGGCAGUUCAAGCUUUCUUCACCGGGCUCCAUUAAUGUGACUCAAACCCUGACCUGAAAGACCCAGGUAAAAGGGUGGACAAUCCUUUGUCCUUUGCUGUGACUGCCAAAAAGGUACCAUUUAUUGUCAGACAUGGGGAUAUUUGUCAACUGUGAAUAAUAAUUAUCCUCUAGGAACUGGACCAAGACCACCAAUGCUUUUCACAUAGGUGGCUUUCAGUCACCACCAAUGUGGGCUGGAUUCAAACCAUCAUAAUCCCAUUACAAAUUCCCUCAGACAUACAAUCUCCCGUCCUAUCCAGAAUCUAUCUAGAGAACAAUAAGACUGUACUGAGCUGAAUAUUGGAAGGAACUAACACCUCCCAAAUCAUACCAACUUACUGAAAACAUUUCAUAAUAUCAGAAACAGCUUCAUAAUAAACCUUUUUAAAGAACAUCAGGAGAUGAUACUCUAACAUUACAUAUCUCCUGGCCUCCAAGCAUGUACUGGACAGGACAACAAAUGUGAGAAAAUCGACACUUCCCAGUACUUGUUACUGGUAUAUGGGGAUUAACAGGGAAGCCAACAUUAAAUUAAUAAAUCUUUUGGAAGAUGCUGAAUAGAAACUAACAUUAGGGUCCAGUGAUUCAUGUCUCCUGAUCCUGGAAGACAUGGUAAUAUGGAAUUGAUCUGAAAAUUAAAAGAGGGAGAAAGGAUCCUUAUUUCUA
Chelonia mydas (Green sea turtle) is the source of this 984-nucleotide long non-coding RNA. RefSeq lists it as uncharacterized. The record is from RefSeq and is a predicted model, not a curated record. The transcript has 3 exons. NCBI's taxonomy places the organism in Eukaryota, Metazoa, Chordata, Testudines, Cheloniidae.